RNAcentral lists this long non-coding RNA (1960 nucleotides) under Ailuropoda melanoleuca (giant panda). RNAcentral describes it as "lncRNA (ENSAMEG00000031288.1)". Lineage: Eukaryota; Metazoa; Chordata; Mammalia; Carnivora; Ursidae. The record is from RNAcentral.
AGCACCGCGGACCUACCCACUCGGGAGUUCCCGAGGCUGGGGGUCCAGGCGAGGGCGGGGCGGAGCCGGAGGGCGGUGGCGGCGGAGCCAGGCGCGGGGCUGGCGGCCCAGCAGCCUCCCCAGGGACCCGGGUCCAACCCGAGCGGGAGUCGCGCGGGCGCACACACAGCGCCGCGGGCCGGGGCGCGCGGGGUACCUCCGGUGAAGAGGUCCUGCUUCACGGCUGAGCGCCCCUAUUCACCGGCCCCGGCAGGCCGAUCAGAAAAAAUAACGUCUGUGCUUCCCAGAGAAGAGAAUGGAGCGGCGGCAGCGUCCCGGGCAACGUUCCCGGGCCCCGAUGUCAGAGCUCCCUUGGCCCCGUCCCCUCCACACUCACAUCCCGCCGCUGGCGACCCGGGGCGNNNNNNNNNNNNNNNNNNNNNNNNNNNNNNNNNNNNNNNNNNNNNNNNNNNNNNNNNNNNNNNNNNNNNNNNNNNNNNNNNNNNNNNNNNNNNNNNCGGCGGGCGGCGGCUCCGAGCGGCGGCCGGGCGGGGGGCGCUGGAGGCCAGGCCGGCCAGAGGGGAUCCCGAGAGCCCCAUGAAGUGCCCCCGUGGCCGCGGACGGGGCGCUGUCCUGGGGAGGCUGUCGGGGGGUCCCCGACAUCCAUGGCUAGGCGGGGGCCGCGGCGGCGCGCUCGGAGGCCGGCGGCGGCGGCUGCCCCGAGGGACGGGGCCCUAGGCGGUGGCGAUGGGGGCCGUCCGGAUCGCGCCCGGCCUGGCGCUCCUGCUCUGCUGCCCGGUGCUCAGCUCCGCGUACGCGCUGGUAAGUCCCUCGCCCGCACUCCAGGACAGGCUGCGGGCUUGCUCUGCGGUCCCUGGGGUGGGUCCAGGGCGCAGAGUCUUGGGUUCCCUGAGUAAUCCGAACUUUGGAUGAGCGUUCCCUCCGACCCGAGAUCCUGGGUGCCUGCUGUCUCUGGGAUGUCUGGACUCGGUUCCUGAUGCCUAUGGUCCCCUUAUUUCUGAAGCCUGGGUUUGGGGUCCCAGGUCUGGAAAGCUGUAGUUGGGGUUCCUCUAUCGUUUGCGUCUGAGCACCCCUCGUCUGGUUGUGUCUCCUUCAGGGAUGACAGUGUGAUCUAGCCGGAGGCUGGGCUUUGGCCCUGAUGUAAGGUCCCACAGACUUUGUUCCGGGGCCUCGGUUUUCUGCAAGUUUUGUUUGCAAGCCAGGACACAGGGCUGUGGGUCUGAGGUCAGAAUCACCCAGGCAGGGGGUAGGAUUUAGGGGUGCCCUCCAGCUCUCACGAUCACAUGCACGUACACACGCCCGGACACUCUUGCCCAGGGAGGCGGGUGUGGUGUGGCAUGGAGGAAGGAUGGAGGUCUCCUGAAGGAGCCCGACCUCACAGAAUGCUUUUCCAGGAGAAACAUGCUGCAGGGGGACUCUGGUGAGUGAGGGACCCCCUGUGUACCCUCCUGAGAGCCGAAGCCAAGAGGAGGUCAGAGAGAGAAGAAGAGGCAGGUUGGGAGAUAAGGCCAGAGAGAGAGGAGAGAGACAAAGGGGGUGGAAUGAGAGCUCCCCAGAGUAGAAGGAGUAGACAGGCCAAGAAUGGCGGAGCGAGGUAGGGACUGGAGGAGGCCGAGAGCUGGAGACACGGAGGGACUGGAGACAUGGAGAGAUGGAGAGACCUAUCUUCCUCUUCCCGGGCCAGAGACUGGGGGCUGGACCUGGGGAGUCAGUCCGAUCCCACAGCAGCCCUGUCCCGGAGGACUAGCCCACCUCCCAGGAGGCUGUCUGCCUGUGUGUCCGACUUCAAGGCCCCUGCUGCCUCCCCAGUACCUCCCAGGUGGGGGCAUCUGUCUUCUAGAGAAACGGGCAGGCAAGCAGGCAGCCACCUUCUCCCGACCAGCUCCCUACCCAGGCAGAACCUGAGGCGGGAUGGCAGGAGCUCUGGGAUUCCUCCAGCUCUGCCUAAGGCCCCUGUGAC